Molecule: ribosomal RNA, 253 nt
Filed under: uncultured bacterium
Lineage: Bacteria
Description: partial 16S ribosomal RNA
Rfam family: Bacterial small subunit ribosomal RNA
Source: RNAcentral
UACGGGGGGGGCAAGCGUUGUUCGGAAUUACUGGGCGUAAAGGGCUCGUAGGCGGCCAACUAAGUCAGACGUGAAAUCCCUCGGCUUAACCGGGGAACUGCAUCUGAUACUGGAUGGCUUGAGUUCGGGAGAGGGAUGCGGAAUUCCAGGUGUAGCGGUGAAAUGCGUAGAUAUCCGGAGGAACACCAGCGGCGAAGGCGGCAUCCUGGACUGGUCCUGACACUCAGGAGCGAAAGCGUGGGGAGCGAUCCGG